This 479-nucleotide ribosomal RNA is filed under the name uncultured bacterium. RNAcentral describes it as "partial 16S ribosomal RNA". It matches the Rfam family "Bacterial small subunit ribosomal RNA", at positions 28 to 507 of the family's 1533-position model. The record is from RNAcentral.
GACGAACGCUGGCGGCGUGCUUAACACAUGCAAGUCGAACGAUGAAGAAAAGAAUCGAAGCUUCGGCAGAAAUUCAUUUCGGAUUAGUGGCAGACGGGUGAGUAACGCGUGAGCAACCUACCUCUUACAAAGGGAUAGCCUCGGGAAACCGGGAUUAAUACCAUAUAACAUUGUGACGAAGCAUUUCGAUGCAAUCAAAGCUACGGCGGUAAGAGAUGGGCUCGCGUCCCAUUAACCGGAUGGUGAGGUAACGGCUCACCAUAGUGACGAUGGGUAACCGGCCUGAGAGGGUGAACGGUCACACUGGAACUGAGACACGGUCCAGACUCCUACGGGAGGCAGCAGUGGGGAAUAUUGCACAAUGGAGGGAACUCUGAUGCAGCGACGCCGCGUGAGUGAUGAAGGAAUUCGUUUCGUAAAACUCUGUUCUUGGGAAGAAAAGGACUGUACCAUAGGAGAAAGCUCCGGCUAAAUACGUG